AACGAACGCUGGCGGCAUGCCUAACACAUGCAAGUCGAACGAGACCUUCGGGUCUAGUGGCGCACGGGUGCGUAACGCGUGGGAACCUGCCCUUAGGUUCGGAAUAACUCCCCGAAAGGGGUGCUAAUACCGGAUAAUGUCUUCGGACCAAAGAUUUAUCGCCUUUGGAUGGGCCCGCGUUGGAUUAGCUAGUUGGUGGGGUAAAAGCCUACCAAGGCGACGAUCCAUAGCUGGUCUGAGAGGAUGAUCAGCCACACUGGGACUGAGACACGGCCCAGACUCCUACGGGAGGCAGCAGUGGGGAAUAUUGGACAAUGGGCGAAAGCCUGAUCCAUCAAUGCCGCGUGAGUGAUGAAGGCCUUAGGGUUGUAAAGCUCUUUUACCCGGGAUGAUAAUGACAGUACCGGGAGAAUAAGCUCCGGCUAACUCCGUG
Molecule: ribosomal RNA, 433 nt
Filed under: uncultured bacterium
Lineage: Bacteria
Description: partial 16S ribosomal RNA
Rfam family: Bacterial small subunit ribosomal RNA
Source: RNAcentral